CCAGACUCUACGGAGCAGCAGUGGGAUUUGACAUGGGGCAGCUGAUCCAGCAUGCGCGUGUGUGAAGAAGCUUCGGUGUAAGCACUUUGUCCGGAAAGAAAUCGCACUGGUAAUACUGUGUGAUGACGGUACCGGAAGAAUAAGGACCGGCUAACUACGUGCCAGCAGCCGCGGUAAUACGUAGGGUCAAGCGUUAAUCGGAAUUACUGGGCGUAAAGCGUGCGCAGGCGGUUGUGCAAGACCGAUGUGAAAUCCCCGGGCUUAACCUGGGAAUUGCAUUGGUGACUGCACGGCUAGAGUGUGUCAGAGGGAGGUAGAAUUCCACGUGUAGCAGUGAAAUGCGUAGAGAUGUGGAGGAAUACCGAUGGCGAAGGCAGCCUCCUGGGAUAACACUGACGCUCAUGCACGAAAGCGUGGGGAGCAAACAGGAUUAGAUACCCUGGUAGUCCACGCCCUAAACGAUGUCAACUAGUUGUUGGGGAUUCAUUUCCUUAGUAACGUAGCUAACGCGUGAAGUUGACCGCCUGGGGAGUACGGUCGCAAGAUUAAAACUCAAAGGAAUUGACGGGGACCCGCACAAGCGGUGGAUGAUGUGGAUUAAUUCGAUGCAACGCGAAAAACCUUACCUACCCUUGACAUGCCACUAACGAAGCAGAGAUGCAUUAGGUGCUCGAAAGAGAAAGUGGACACAGGUGCUGCAUGGCUGUCGUCAGCUCGU
RNAcentral lists this ribosomal RNA (718 nucleotides) under Ralstonia solanacearum. RNAcentral's name for it is "bacterial SSU rRNA". It matches the Rfam family "Bacterial small subunit ribosomal RNA", at positions 331 to 1063 of the family's 1533-position model. The record is from RNAcentral. Lineage: Bacteria; Pseudomonadati; Pseudomonadota; Betaproteobacteria; Burkholderiales; Burkholderiaceae.